Molecule: ribosomal RNA, 253 nt
Filed under: uncultured bacterium
Lineage: Bacteria
Description: partial 16S ribosomal RNA
Rfam family: Bacterial small subunit ribosomal RNA
Source: RNAcentral
UACGGGGGGGGCAAGCGUUGUUCGGAAUUACUGGGCGUAAAGGGCUCGGAGGCGGCCAACUAAGUCAGACGUGAAAUCCCUCGGCUUAACCGGGGAACUGCGUCUGAUACUGGAUGGCUUGAGUUUGGGAGAGGGAUGCGGAAUUCCAGGUGUAGCGGUGAAAUGCGUAGAUAUCUGGAGGAACACCGGUGGCGAAGGCGGAUCUCUGGGCCUUACCUGACGCUCAGGCACGAAAGCUAGGGGAGCGAACAGG